AGCGAACGCUGGCGGCAGGCUUAACACAUGCAAGUCGAGCGGGCGUAGCAAUACGUCAGCGGCAGACGGGUGAGUAACGCGUGGGAACGUACCUUUUGGUUCGGAACAACACAGGGAAACUUGUGCUAAUACCGGAUAAGCCCUUACGGGGAAAGAUUUAUCGCCGAAAGAUCGGCCCGCGUCUGAUUAGCUAGUUGGUAGGGUAAUGGCCUACCAAGGCGACGAUCAGUAGCUGGUCUGAGAGGAUGAUCAGCCACAUUGGGACUGAGACACGGCCCAAACUCCUACGGGAGGCAGCAGUGGGGAAUAUUGGACAAGGGGGGCAACCCUGAUCCAGCCAUGCCGCGUGAGUGAUGAAGGCCCUAGGGUUGUAAAGCUCUUUUGUGCGGGAAGAUAAUGACGGUACCGCAAGAAUAAGCCCCAGCUAACUUCGUGCCAGCCGCCGCGGUAA
This 451-nucleotide ribosomal RNA is filed under the name uncultured bacterium. RNAcentral describes it as "partial 16S ribosomal RNA". It matches the Rfam family "Bacterial small subunit ribosomal RNA", at positions 29 to 523 of the family's 1533-position model. The record is from RNAcentral.